UAGUGUCUGGGAAACUGCCUGAUGGAGGGGGGUAACUGCUGGAAACGGUAGCUAAUACCGCAUAAUGUCGCAAGACCAAAGUGGGGGACCUUCGGGCCUCAUGCCAUCAGAUGUGCCCAGAUGGGAUUAGCUAGUAGGUGGGGUAACGGCUCACCUAGGCGACGAUCCCUAGCCGGUCUGAGAGGAUGACCAGCCACACUGGAACUGAGACACGGUCCAG
RNAcentral lists this ribosomal RNA (220 nucleotides) under uncultured bacterium. Its description in RNAcentral is "partial 16S ribosomal RNA". It matches the Rfam family "Bacterial small subunit ribosomal RNA", at positions 111 to 334 of the family's 1533-position model. The record is from RNAcentral.